GGCACUUUGGCGGAGUGGUUAACGCGAUGCCCUGCUAUUAAUUAGCUAGGCAUUUCCCUCGGGAGCGUGUGUUCGAAUCACACAGGUGUCG
This 91-nucleotide transfer RNA is filed under the name Erysiphe necator (grape powdery mildew). It matches the Rfam family "tRNA". From Rfam's summary of the family: Transfer RNA (tRNA) molecules are approximately 80 nucleotides in length. Their secondary structure includes four short double-helical elements and three loops (D, anti-codon, and T loops). Lineage: Eukaryota; Fungi; Ascomycota; Leotiomycetes; Helotiales; Erysiphaceae. The record is from Rfam by way of RNAcentral.